GACGAACGCUGGCGGCGUGCUUAACACAUGCAAGUCGAACGAUGAAGCCUAGCUUGCUAGGUGUAUUAGUGGCGAACGGGUGAGUAAUACGUGAGUAACCUACCUUUAACUCUGGGAUAAGCCCUGGAAACUGGGUCUAAUACCGGAUACGACCAAUCUCCGCAUGGGGUGUUGGUGGAAAGCGUUAUGUAGUGGUUAUAGAUGGGCUCACGGCCUAUCAGCUUGUUGGUGGGGUAACGGCUCACCAAGGCGACGACGGGUAGCCGGCCUGAGAGGGUGACCGGCCACACUGGGACUGAGAUACGGCCCAGACUCCUACGGGAGGCAGCAGUGGGGAAUAUUGCACAAUGGGCGGAAGCCUGAUGCAGCGACGCCGCGUGAGGGAUGACGGCCUUCGGGUUGUAAACCUCUGUUAGCAGGGAAGAAGAGAGAUUGACGGUACCUGGAGAGAAAGCGCCGGCUAACUACGUG
This 471-nucleotide ribosomal RNA is filed under the name uncultured bacterium. RNAcentral describes it as "partial 16S ribosomal RNA". It matches the Rfam family "Bacterial small subunit ribosomal RNA", at positions 28 to 507 of the family's 1533-position model. The record is from RNAcentral.